CCUGGCAGGAGUCCAGACUUGCAGAGAUCAGGCUUCUCAUGACUGAAGACUGACGGUGCGGAUGGAGUCUCUCUUCACACAGAUCAUUGAUGCGGGGAGGAAAACAAAGUUCUGCCCAACCCAGCCAGGAGUGGAAGUACUAAAAUAUUGCAAGAAAACAUGAAGUUUCCAACCGAGGGGUCCUGUUCUGUGAGGCAUUGAGCAUUUGUCUUCACUGGGCUCUGAAGACACUCAGCCCCUUCUAGGAGCUAGGAGUUCAGCAUCUUACAGGACCAAGUUGGAUGAGGAGGAAUUUGAACUGGGUUCUCCCAGCUCUGAGUCCACAAAGAUGUGGUGAAGGACUCGCUGAGCAGUAUGAAACUCCCAUCUCUGAGUAUCUGGGAUUAACUUC
Long non-coding RNA from Trachemys scripta elegans, 391 nucleotides. RefSeq lists it as uncharacterized. Lineage: Eukaryota; Metazoa; Chordata; Testudines; Emydidae. The transcript has 3 exons. The record is from RefSeq and is a predicted model, not a curated record.